GUGCUUGCUUAGGCAGCACAUAUACUAAAAAUUGGACCGCUACAGAGAAGAUUAGCACGCAAAUUCAUGAAGUGUUCCGUUUUUUU
RNAcentral lists this small nuclear RNA (86 nucleotides) under Erinaceus europaeus (western European hedgehog). The record is from RNAcentral. Lineage: Eukaryota; Metazoa; Chordata; Mammalia; Eulipotyphla; Erinaceidae.